GUGGUUGCUUCGGCAGCACAUAUAGUAAAAUUGGAACGAUACAGAUAGGAUUAGCAGGGAACCUGCACAAGGAUGACAUGCAGAUUCGUGAAGUUCCAUAUUUUAAU
Small nuclear RNA from Protopterus annectens (West African lungfish), 107 nucleotides. The record is from RefSeq and is a predicted model, not a curated record. Lineage: Eukaryota; Metazoa; Chordata; Ceratodontiformes; Protopteridae.